UGCUGGUGCAGGAAGUCCAGAGCCAAUCCCACUGUCAUCACAUUCUCCUGCCCUGCAUCAGGUUCCAGAAUGUUUGUGGUACUGUUACAGAAGCCCUAGGAGACGAAUACAAAUGAAAAUGAAGAAUAAGUUUAGCUCAACUCAAUAUGUUAAAGAGAGCACCCAUAACAUCUGCCUCCCUGUCCACGACCUCCUCCUCCGCAACUGCCUCCAGCACCACCGACUUCAAUGCCGCCACCACCCUCAUGUCAUGCUUUAGGCAGACUUUGUGUUGCUGGGUUGGCCAAGAGUCCUCAAGCAUUUCCCCAAAACAGAGUCUACAUAUGCAGCAAGGACUCAAAGGCUGACCUGCAUGGAUUCCAUGAAUACACUUUCUGGCCUCUGGCUUCCACUUGGGUUCAGCCAAUGAGAAGACCUGGCUGAUCGCAUGAAGGGGAAGGAGUGCAGUUCCAGGGUUCCCAGAAGGAUAAGAGAGAGAACCAGGAGGAUAAGAGAAAGAAAAAGCCUGGAAGAUAUCUGAAGAGAUACUUACUACUGAAAAACUCCCUAGCAUGGGAAAGGAGAAAGCCCCCCAAGUCCAGGGAACUCAGAGACUCACAUACAUGAUUCACUCUUCUCCACAGUUUCUGACUUAUGGUGCUCCUCCAAACUCAGGACCCCACACUGCUCUCCACGUCAGUACCUCUUCCUUCUUUCUGACUUACUGUCAUCCUCCUCACGCAAGAACUGCACUUCACAGCAAGUAACUAUCUCCACAUAGUUUUUGUCUUAACAGUGCUUCUCCUCAUCAGGAACCCACAUCUUCUCCAAGUAUCUAUGCCAAGGUUCUGACCUAUGCACUCGUCCUCACUCAGACCCUACACUGUGCCCCAAAUGAGUAUUUCUGCAUCAUUUCUGACAUGCUGCACUCUUCUGUACUACACCCAAUUCCUCUCCAAAUGAGUAUCUCUGCCUACAUGCUGAUUUACUGCAUUCCUCCCCACUCAAGACCUCCACUCGUCUCCAAGUGAGAAUCUCUGCCCAGUUUUGGACCAAUCAACUCCUCAUCACCCACAACACCCGAACUGGCCAUUGAGAACCUCUUGCUAAUUUCUGGCUUACUGCCCAUCUUCUCAAUCAGGAAACCCCCUUCUGUUUAACUUUGCAUCACUGAUUAUUUUCUGACUUACUGGGUUCCUCCUUAUUUAGGACCUCCUCUCUUUUCCAAGUGAGUAUCACUGCCCAAUUUCUGAUAUAUGGCCAGAUCCUCUUUCACAUGACCCACUCCUUUCCAUGUAAGAUCCUCUUCCUAGUUUCUUACUUCCAUCCCUUCUCAAUCAAGAACUACACACAUAUAGAAUUUAGUAUUUCUGCCUAAUUUCUGAAUUACUAUUCUUCUGGUAACUCAGGAUUAUCAUUCUAUCCACCUGAGGGUCUCUUCCCAGAUUUGAACUUUGGGCUCCUCCUCACUCAGGGCCCUUUACAUCUCUCCAAUGAGUAUCACUGCACAGUGUCUAACUGACUGUGCUACUACUCAUUCAAGACCUCUACUUGCUUCCAAGUGAGGAUGUCUGGCCAUGUUCUGACCUAUGUGCUCCUCUUCACUCAACACCUUCCAGUCCUCUCCAUGUUAGUGUCUAAACCUAGCUUCUAAUUUAGUGCGCUACUACUCACACAGGACCUACACUUUUCUCCAAGUGAAUAUACCUGCCCAGUUGAUCCUCUUUCACAACAUGCACUCAUUUCCAAGUGAGAACCUCCUCUUACUUUCUGACUUACUUCCCUCCAUCUCAAUCAGGAACUACUCACCUGUACAAUUUUGUAUCUCUGCAUAGUUUCCGACUUACUGAGUUUCUGCUCACUCAGGAUCGCCCCUUCUCUCCAAGUGAGUAUCUCUUCCAGUUUUGACCUAACUUCUUCCUCACUCAGGACCCUUCACUCCUCUCCAGUGAGUAUCUCUGCUUAGUUUCUAAUUGACUGCCUGACUCCCGUCUCAGGACCAGCACUUCUUUCCAAGUCAAUACCUCUGCCCAGUUUCUGUCGUAUGUGCUCUUCCUCAGUGAGGACCUCCUCUCCAAGUGAGUAUCCCUGCCCAGUUUCUCAACUAUGCGCAACUCUUCCCUCAAGACCCUCCCGUCCUCUCCAUGUUAGUAUCCCUGCCUAGCUUCUAACUUAUGUGCACUACUACUGACAAAGGAUAACAACUGUUUUCCAGGUGAGUAUAUCUGCCCACUUUGUGACCUAUGGCUUGAUCCUUGUUCACAACACCCACUCCUUUCCUAGUGAGAACCUCUUCCUAGUUUCUGAGUUACUUCCGUACUUCUCAGUCAGGGACUACACACCGGUAGAAUUUGAAUUUCUACCUAAAUUGAAACGUACUGUUCUUUUGCUUACUCAGGAUCUCCAUUCUCUCCUCUUCUCCUCUCCAAGUGAAUGUCUGCCACCUCUGUGACCCUCUUCCCUCAGGACUUCCUUUCCUCUACAAGUGAGUAUCUCUGCCCAGUUCCUCACCAAUGCGAUCCUCCUCCCUCCAGAGUUUUUCUCCUCUCCAAGUGAGUAUCUCUUCCCACGAUCUCAACUAUGCCCUCCUCCUCACUCAAAACUUCGCAGUCCUCUCCCUCUUAGUAUCUGUACCUAGCUUCUAACUUAAUGCACUACUACACACACAGGAUCUACACUUUUGUCCAAGUGAGCAUCUCUGCCCAGAUUCUGACCUAUGGCCUGACCAUCAUUCACAACAUUCAGUCCUUUCCAAGUGAGCACCUCUUCCUAGUUUCUGACUGACUUCCCGCCUUCUCAAUCAGGAUCUACACACCUGUAGAAUUUGGUAUUUCUGCCUGGUUUCUGAAUUACUGUGCUCCUGCUCACUCAGGCUCUCCACUUCUCUCCAAGUGAGUAGCUCAUCGAGUUUUGAAUUCUAUGUCCUCCUCACUCAGGACUCUGCACUCUUCCGCAUGUUAGUUCUCUGCUUAGUUUGUAACUGACUUUGCUACUGCUAUCUCAGGACCACCACUUCUUUCCAAGUGAGUAUCUCUGUCCAUGUUCUGACCUAUAUACUCCUCCUCACUCAGGACUCUCCAGUCCUCUCCAUGUAAAUCUCUGCCUAGUUUCUAACCUAGUGUGCUACUACUCACACACGACCUUCACUUUUCUCCAAAUGAGCAUCUCUGACCUCUUUCUGUCCUAUGUCCUGUUCCUCAUUCAUAACACCCACUGUUUUCCAUUUGAGAACUCUUCCUAGUUUCUUACUUGCUAUAUUCCUUCUCAAUUUUGUAUAAUUUUGUACCUUUCCUAGUUUUCGACUUACUGUGCUCCUGCCCUCUCAGGCUCUUCACUUCUUUCCAAGUCAGUGUGUGUUCCCAGUUUUAACUAUGCUGCCCUCCUCACUCAGGACCUCCACUCCUCUCUGAGUUUGUAUUUUUGACUUGUUUCUGAUCUUUUCACUCCUCCUCACUCAGAACCCUCCACUCUUCUCCAAGUGAGUAUCCAUACCCAGUAUGUGACCUACGCGCUCAUCACUAAGAAUCCCUCACUCCUCUUCAAGUAAGUACAUCUUGCUAUUUCUGAUUUACUGCUGUCCUAAAUCUGGAAGUCCACUCCUGUUGAAUUUUGUAUCUCUGCCUAGUUUCGACUUACUGUGCUCCCCGCCACUCAGGACCUCCAUUUGUCUCCAAGUGAGUAUCCCUCCCUAGUUUCUGACUGUCUUCCCUCCUCCUCACUCAAGUCCCUCCACUCCUCUCCACAUGAAUAUCUCUGCCCAGUUUCUCAGCUGAUCACUCCUCCUCAUUCAGGACAUCCACUCAUCUCCAAGUGAGUAUCGCUGCCUACUUAACUGACUCUGCUACUCUUCACUCAAGACUUCCAUUUCUCAGUGUGUAUCUCUACCCAGUGUCUGACCAAUGCGCUCCACCUUACUCAGAUCCUCUCACUCUUUUCCAAGUGAGCACGUCUUGCUAGAUUUUGUGUCCUGUCCUCCUUGUCAAUCAGGAAUGCCAUUCCUGUGGAAUCUCUGCCUAGUUUCUGACUCACUGUGCUCCUCCUCAUCAGGAACCUCUUUGUCCUCUCUGAGUAUCUGCCCAAUAUCCUAUAGGCUCUUCCUCACUCAAGAUCCCCUUUCUUCUCCAAGUGAGUAUCUCAGACUAGUUUCUAACUUACUAAGCUUCUCCUAAGUGAGGACCCCCUGCCCCUGUCAUUUCCAAGUGAGUACCUCUUCAUAGUUUCUGAUUUACUGCCCUCCUCGUCACUCAAGACCUCCCAUUCCUCUGCAAACAAAUGUCUUUGUCUACCUUCUGACUUACCGCUCUCGUCCUCAUUGAGGAUGCCAGCACUGGUCACUGGUGUGAAUUUUCUCCAUGUUUAUGUGGUCAAUAGUUUUUGGUGUGCUCUCCCAUACAUUGUAAUGUGUUUGUAAUGAUACAUUUCUCACGUCUUUUGAAUGUUUUCACUUCCUUGAAACAUUCCUGCUUUCAUAAAGUGAAAGAACUAGGUUCUCUUUCCUUGUAGCAUCAGUCCCCUGGAGGUCUUUGGGCUAGCAUUCCUGGUUUGUAUCCUGUCUUCCCAGGUUCAAUGGCUUGGCUGGGAAUUCC
Odocoileus virginianus texanus is the source of this 4565-nucleotide long non-coding RNA. RefSeq lists it as uncharacterized. The record is from RefSeq and is a predicted model, not a curated record. NCBI's taxonomy places the organism in Eukaryota, Metazoa, Chordata, Mammalia, Artiodactyla, Cervidae.